GUGGAUCCUGUGAACUGCAGGACACAUGAACACCGACAAGUUGAACGCAUAUUGCACAUCGUACUCCAGUACGAUGUACACAUUUUUGAGUGCCUAUAUUUACCGAUUCAACUAUACGUGCGUGCGCGCGCGGGGUCCAACUAACGGGUGGACAAGCGCACGGCCCAUGGCACGUAUGCGUAGUGAUGUUUUCCCUUCGGCUCCGGCCACGCGGUAAAACAUUGAAGAUAGUCAGCCGCGUCCACACCGACCGAGGCUGAUGAAUACAUCCCCUAGGCCCCCCCCGUUGGCUAUGUUGUAUUCCAUCCCCGACGAUCGGCGUACCCAGUAGGCCUCAAAUAAUGUGUGACUACCCCCUAAAUUUAAUCAUAUCGACAC
RNAcentral lists this ribosomal RNA (378 nucleotides) under Culicidae sp. PSI14_Hw/Oc. Its description in RNAcentral is "eukaryotic LSU rRNA". The stretch from base 1 to 95 matches the Rfam family "5.8S ribosomal RNA", at positions 58 to 154 of the family's 154-position model. The record is from RNAcentral. Lineage: Eukaryota; Metazoa; Arthropoda; Insecta; Diptera; Culicidae.